GACAUACCUAUACGUUGCCUCGGCGGAUCAGCCCGCGCCCCGUAAAAAGGGACGGCCCGCCCGAGGACCCCUAAACUCUGUUUUUAGUGGAACUUCUGAGUAAAACAAACAAAUAAAUCAAAACUUUCAACAACGGAUCUCUUGGUUCUGGCAUCGAUGAAGAACGCAGCAAAAUGCGAUAAGUAAUGUGAAUUGCAGAAUUCAGUGAAUCAUCGAAUCUUUGAACGCACAUUGCGCCCGCCAGUAUUCUGGCGGGCAUGCCUGUUCGAGCGUCAUUUCAACCCUCAAGCUCAGCUUGGUGUUGGGACUCGCGGUAACCCGCGUUCCCCAAAUCGAUUGGCGGUCACGUCGAGCUUCCAUAGCGUAGUAAUCAUACACCUCGUUACUGGUAAUCGUCGCGGCCACGCCGUAAAACCCCAACUUCUGAAUGUUGACCUCGGAUCAGGUAGGAAUACCCGCUGAACUUAAGCAUAUC
This 475-nucleotide ribosomal RNA is filed under the name Fusarium chlamydosporum. Its description in RNAcentral is "eukaryotic LSU rRNA". The stretch from base 122 to 275 matches the Rfam family "5.8S ribosomal RNA". The record is from RNAcentral. Lineage: Eukaryota; Fungi; Ascomycota; Sordariomycetes; Hypocreales; Nectriaceae.